RNAcentral lists this ribosomal RNA (204 nucleotides) under uncultured bacterium. Its description in RNAcentral is "partial 16S ribosomal RNA". It matches the Rfam family "Bacterial small subunit ribosomal RNA", at positions 306 to 526 of the family's 1533-position model. The record is from RNAcentral.
CGCCUCCCUCCGCCGCCACUCAGACUCCGUACGGGAGGCGAGCAGGUGGGGAAGUCGUUGCACAAGUACGGGGGAAACCCGUAGGAUGCAGCGACGCCGCGUGAGCGAUGAAGCCUUCGGGUGUAAGCUCUUUCGACGGGAACGAUAAUGACGGUACCGAAGAAGAAGCUGCGGCUAACUACGUGCCAGCAGCCGCGGUAAUUC